This 433-nucleotide ribosomal RNA is filed under the name uncultured bacterium. Its description in RNAcentral is "partial 16S ribosomal RNA". It matches the Rfam family "Bacterial small subunit ribosomal RNA", at positions 29 to 507 of the family's 1533-position model. The record is from RNAcentral.
AACGAACGCUGGCGGCAUGCCUAACACAUGCAAGUCGAACGAGACCUUCGGGUCUAGUGGCGCACGGGUGCGUAACGCGUGGGAACCUGCCCUUAGGUUCGGAAUAACUCCCCGAAAGGGGUGCUAAUACCGGAUAAUGUCUUCGGACCAAAGAUUUAUCGCCUUUGGAUGGGCCCGCGUUGGAUUAGCUAGUUGGUAGGGUAAAAGCCUACCAAGGCGACGAUCCAUAGCUGGUCAGAGAGGAUGAUCAGCCACACUGGGACUGAGACACGGCCCAGACUCCUACGGGAAGCAGCAGUGGGGAAUAUUGGAAAAUGGGCGAAAGCCUGAUCCAGCAAUGCCGCGUGAGUGAUGAAGGCCUUAGGGUUGUAAAGCUCUUUUACCCGGGAUGAUAAUGACAGUACCGGGAGAAUAAGCUCCGGCUAACUCCGUG